This 905-nucleotide ribosomal RNA is filed under the name uncultured bacterium. Its description in RNAcentral is "bacterial SSU rRNA". It matches the Rfam family "Bacterial small subunit ribosomal RNA", at positions 9 to 873 of the family's 1533-position model. The record is from RNAcentral.
GAGUUUGAUCAUGGCUCAGAAUGAACGCUGGCGGCGUGCUUAACACAUGCAAGUCGUACGAGAACUCUUUAGCUUGCUAAAGAUAGUAAAGUGGCGCACGGGUGAGUAACGCGUGGGUAAUCUACUUCCGAAUCGGGGAUAACCCGCCGAAAGGCGAGCUAAUACCGGAUAAUAUCUAUAGAACUUCGGUUUUAAAGAUCAAAGGUGGUCUCUACAUGUAAGCUACUGUUUGGAGAUGAGCCCGCGUACCAUUAGCUUGUUGGUAGGGUAAUGGCCUACCAAGGCUUCGAUGGUUAGCUGAUCUGAGAGGAUGAUCAGCCACACUGGAACUGACACACGGUCCAGACUCCUACGGGAGGCAGCAGUGAGGAAUUUUGCGCAAUGGGGGAAACCCUGACGCAGCAACGCCGCGUGAGUGAUGAAGGCUUUCGGGUCGUAAAGCUCUGUCAAGUGGGAAGAACAUGCUUGAUGCUAAUACCAUCUUGCACUGACGGUACCACUGAAGGAAGCACCGGCUAACUCCGUGCCAGCAGCCGCGGUAAUACGGGGGGUGCAAGCGUUAUUCGGAAUUAUUGGGCGUAAAGGGCGCGUAGGCGGUCUCUUAAGUCAGAUGUGAAAGCCCGGGGCUCAACCCCGGAAGUGCAUUUGAAACUAAGUGACUUGAGUAUGGGAGAGGGAAGUGGAAUUCCUGGUGUAGAGGUGAAAUUCGUAGAUAUCAGGAGGAACACCGGUGGCGAAGGCGACUUCCUGGACCAAUACUGACGCUAAGGCGCGAAGGCGUGGGGAGCAAACAGGAUUAGAUACCCUGGUAGUCCACGCAGUAAACGGUGAACACUAGGUGUAGCGGGUAUUGACCCCUGCUGUGCCGUAGCUAACGCAUUAAGUUUCCGCCUGGAGUGCUAGCU